UGCGCAGGCGGGAAAUUAAGUCAGUGGUGAAAUCCUGCAGCUUAACUGUAGAAUUGCCAUUGAAACUGAUUUUCUUGAGUACAGUUGAGGUAGGCGGAAUGUGUAAUGUAGCGGUGAAAUGCUUAGAUAUUACACAGAACACCGAUUGCGUAGGCAGCUCACUAAACUGUUACUGACGCUCAGGCACGAAAGCGUGGGGAGCGAACAGGAUUAGAUACCCUGGUAGUCC
This 229-nucleotide ribosomal RNA is filed under the name uncultured bacterium. Its description in RNAcentral is "partial 16S ribosomal RNA". It matches the Rfam family "Bacterial small subunit ribosomal RNA", at positions 568 to 796 of the family's 1533-position model. The record is from RNAcentral.